This 37-nucleotide ribosomal RNA is filed under the name Oroxylum indicum (Indian trumpet tree). Its description in RNAcentral is "partial 28S ribosomal RNA". RNAcentral also lists the same sequence under 7 other names. Lineage: Eukaryota; Viridiplantae; Streptophyta; Magnoliopsida; Lamiales; Bignoniaceae. The record is from RNAcentral.
CGACCCCAGGUCAGGCGGGAUUACCCGCUGAGUUUAA